CUAGAUCCUUGCAAACAUAACCCGUGCCGCGUCCGCUUGAAGGAGGGGGAUAGCUGCGGGUGGGGGUUCUCUAAACUCAGUCCAUGCGUUUGUGCCUGCUGCACCUGCCUUUGCUAGAAGAUCUGCAACGGCGUUGGCUUCUCUCUUAGUAUGCUUGAAGUCAAUGCUCCAGUUCCUCUUCACCAGGUCUCUGAUGUUGGUUAAAAUUGAUGCAUAGUGAUGCCAGGAGUUUACAUCUCUUCCAAUAAGUUGAAUAGAGAGAGUUGAAUCAGAAUAGCAAACUAUAUUUCUGUAUCCUUGGUCCCAAGCCACCUUCAAGCCAUGAUAAAUAGCAAG
This 336-nucleotide long non-coding RNA is filed under the name Trifolium pratense (red clover). Its description in RNAcentral is "long non-coding RNA (TPRA_LNC007383)". Lineage: Eukaryota; Viridiplantae; Streptophyta; Magnoliopsida; Fabales; Fabaceae. The record is from RNAcentral.